Lutzomyia longipalpis is the source of this 4949-nucleotide long non-coding RNA. RefSeq lists it as uncharacterized. The transcript has 3 exons. The record is from RefSeq and is a predicted model, not a curated record. NCBI's taxonomy places the organism in Eukaryota, Metazoa, Arthropoda, Insecta, Diptera, Psychodidae.
AUUCUUCGGUCAAAAGUCAUGAAGAAACUCAAGUAACAGAAUUUAUUUGGUCGAAAUAACGAAAGUUGUUUGGUUAAAAGACAAUAAAAGCUGAAUAAAAUUAUUAAAAAAGCAAUUUAAUAUUGACAAAAAUACAGAAAUUAUUCAGUCAAAGUUAAUAAAGUAACCCAUGUAACUGAAGUUAUUUGGUCAAAAGAACAAAAGUCAUUUGGUUAAAAGACAACAAAGCUGAAUCAAAUUAUUAAAAAGCAAUUUAAAAUUGUCAGAAACACAAGUUACUCUGUCAAAGUUAGUAAAGUAUCCCAAGUUAUUUUGGCAAAUGAGCUUUUGCUGCCUAAUUUUGCUAUAUUUACUAAUUAACUUCAGUAUUUAAUAUACUUAUUAAAUUAUUAACAAAAUGACAGAAAUGAUUCUGUCAUUGGUUAAUGAGUUAUUAGCUGAAGUAGAAAGGUCAAAUACUUUGGUGUGUUCUGGAAAAUUCCAUUCCUCAACCGAAGCAUUCAGUUAAAGCAGAUUGACGGAAGUUUUUGACAGCUUUCUGUUUUCUCCUGAUUUCUUUGUAAUUAUGGAGUGAAAAACUGUGAAAAAAUAGUGUAAAAGCAAUGAAAAUCCUUCAUGAGUGAUUAUUCAAGAGUUUUCAAGUGCUAUUGUAAUGAAAUUAGCAAGUUUUAGCACUAAAAUUGAGAUAUUGCGUUGUGAGUGAAAAAAAAAACGAAGCCAUUUUGUUUUCCUUUGUGAGUACGUUGACUGAAAUGAUUGGUUAAAUCCGAAUGGGUGAGUGGUACAAAUAUAUUAUAUAUAAUCGUUUUUCUACAAAUCAAACAAGUUUUGACAUGUCAUUCAGUCACUGAGCAUUUCUUUUAUUUGAAUUAAUUAAUUCUGUUAUAAUAUUAUAUAAAUGAAAAACUUUUCCUUUUCUAAUCAAUUAUAUUUUCUUUUUUGACUAUUUGAUUCGGCUUUUUUGUCUUUUAACCAAACAACUUUUGUUAUUUUAACCAAAUAACUUCAGUUACUUGGGUUACCUUGUUAACUUUGACUGGAAAACUUUUGUGUUUUUGACAAUUUCAAAUUGCUUUUUUUAAUAAUUUUAUUCAGCUUUAUUGUCUUUUAACCAAACAACUUUUGUUAUUUUAACCAAAUAACUUCAGUUACUUGAGUUGCUUCAUGAAUUUUGACUGAAAAACUACAGUGUUUUUGACAAUUUCAAAUUGAUUUUUUAAUAAUUUUAUUCAGCUAUAUUAUCUUUUGUCUACCGAAUUGUUUACCAAAUGCUAUUUUAUAUUUUCCUUUUUUCACUUCUUUAACUUGCAAUCUUCGUCAAUAGAGAUAUGUUAGUUUGGUUAAUGAUGUGUUUAGCUGAAGUAGAAAGGUCAAAUACUUUGGUGUGUUCUGGAAAAUUCCAUUCCUCAACCGAAGCAUUCAGUUAAAGCAGAUUGACGGAAGUUUUUGACAGCUUUCUGUUUUCUCCUGAUUUCUUUGUAAUUAUGGAGUGAAAAACUGUGAAAAAAUAGUGUAAAAGCAAUGAAAAUCCUUCAUGAGUGAUUAUUCAAGAGUUUUCAAGUGCUAUUGUAAUGAAAUUAGUAAGUUUUAGCACUAAAAUUGAAGUAUUGCGUUGUGAGUGAAAAAAUGAAGCCAUUUUGUUUUCCUUUGUGAGUACGUUGACUGAAAUGAUUGGUUAAAUCCGAAUGGGUGAGUGGUGCAAAUAUAUUAUAUAUAUUCGUUUUUCUACAAAUCAAACAAGUUUUGACAUGUCGUUCCAUCGCUGAACAUUUUCUUUUAUUUGAUUAAUUAAUUCUGUUAUAAUAUUAUAUAAAUGAAAAACUUUUCCUUUUCUAAUCAAUUAUAUUUUCUUUUUUGACUAUUUGAUUCGGCUUUUUUGUCUUUUAACCAAACAACUUUUGUUACCUAUUUUAACCAAAUAACUUCAGUUACUUGGGUUACCUUGUUAACUUUGACUGGAAAACUUUUGUGUUUUUGACAAUUUCAAAUUGUUUUUUUUAAUAAUUUUAUUCAGCUUUAGAAGAAUUUCUAUAUUUUAGAUGUGUUUCUUUCAAACACAGCUUUUGUAUACCGAGCAAAAUCGAAAGUCGUCAGAUCGGGCUCAAACUUGGGAUGAGCACGAAUUAGGGUCCCCACAUUCCAAAAAACGUAUGCGCCAAAAAUUUUUUUUUCCGGCCGGCCUAAUUAUAAACUUAAAUUGCAAGAGAACGGUGAUAGAUAGAGACUUGCGGUAAACGGCAAAGUUUAAAUAUCGACCGGAAGACAUCCGAUUAUGAUGACAAAUUUUACCCCCCACCCCUCCGUCCGCCAUUUUGAAUAACCUCCAAAUUUUGUUUUGCCUAUAUCUCAGCCCCUGUAAUAGCUAAAAAUCUGAAAUUUUGAUAUGUUGUAGGGGCCAUCAAGACCUUUCCAUCGAUACAUUAUUUUCGAAAAUCGGUCAAGUCGUUUAUUCAAUAUGGCCGCUACAAUUUAUCAUGGAAAAUCGACCAUAUCUCUAAACCGGCUUGACCGAUUUUGAUCAACCCAGGGUCAAAUGAAAGCUCUUAACAUAUCCUACAAUUCUCUAGAACAUCCGAAGUUUCAAAAGUGAUUGCUAGAGGGUCAAAAAACGAAAACAAAAUUUUCGAUGAGUUUUCGAUGAAUAUCUCGAAAACGGCGACAUAUUGUUACGAUUUUUGGGAGAAAUAAAAUUACCGGAAAUAAACAAACGGUUAUUAUGAAUUUAAAUGAAACGAAACCCCAUCAAAAAUAUGUUUCGAGGUCGGUCGGCAGCUAAAAUUUUGUCUGCAGUUUAUUUUUUCAUUCAAGUGCAUUUAUCGCGCUUCGGGAGCGUUCGGCGUGGGUGCAGAAAAUUUCCGCGGUUUUCUUCAAAAAUUCGUCAAUUUGAGAGUGCAAAAAUGAUGGAAAAUUCACGCAGAAGAAAUGCGGUAAGUAAUUUUACGAUUUUCUUAAUUAAUUUGUGUAAUUUUAUCUCUUUGAUCCUACUAGAUUUCACAAAUAUCUUUUAUGGAAUGUUUUAGUAGCAUCAGAUUGAUGAAAUUGAUAGAAAACAAUGAGAAAAAAUUAAUUAUUUUGAUCUAAAAAUUCUUCAUUGCAAAAAAAGAGCCCGAAAUUGAUUUUUCUUUUUUUUUUUUUUAAUUAAUUUUCUCAAGAUAAAAAAACAAAAACUUUUGUAAACAAGAAAAAAAAGAACAAUUUAUCAAUUUUUUUCUAUAUUUCAGAUCGUUUUUGGAACACAAUCAGUGCCCAGGAUGACCAGCCCGGAAGCCUUACCCGGAUGCCCUAUUCAGGAAACCCUGCCCGGACCCCUAUCCGGAUGGCCUGCCUGGAUGCUCUACCCGGAUGCCCUGCCCGCUUCUGCUUUAAUUUUUGACAACAUUGGAAAAUGCGGAAAUAUCCGUUUGAAGCACAAAACUGUCCGUGCCUGGCUUCAGUCCUCAAUUUCUGGGAUCCGGUCUUACACAACAUUAUGCAACAUAAUUUUCCGGAAAUGGAAGUCCCGGAAGUCACAAAGGUGAAGAGGAGAGAUCAUCUGAAAAGCGGCCCAGCAUCAAAGGAGACAGCAGGAGAAGGAAAAGGCAACGCCGGAUAUAUUUUUUCAAUAUUUUUUUGUAAAUUUUAAAAAUAAUAAAUAAAAAUAUAUAAUAAAGAAAGGUCUGUUUGUUGGUAAUCAGUCGUGUUCGGCUAUACAAAUCUACACCGUUUGACCGAUUGCGAUGAAAUUUGGUACAGACGCUCCUUGUAGAUUGUAGAUUGUGGUGUGCAUCCUGGACAAUGCUGAUUGUACGGACAAACUAAGCCACUAAGGCCCUUCGUGUCCUGCUCGGCAUUUCCAUUUUCUGCUGACUACUCGUGCGUAAUGAGACAUUAAAUCAAUGCCUUGCACAGAGUUCCACAAAUUUUCCGACAAGAUUCAUGUUAAAAAACCUGUUUCGUUCCUUGGUCAAAUCACCAGCUGCCAUGACCGACAGCCUACUUAAUACUCUGACCAAUAAAUUAUCCUUAAAAAAGGCUCACACUGCUAUGCAAGAUUCAAUGGUAAGAAACUUCCAUCAUGAUCGAUGAAAAUUCCACUCAUCCACCAAAGUCUCGUGCACAGCAUAGAGCUCCCCUGGCGCAGGUAAUUCACUCAACGAAGUCUCAGAAGAUCUACCGCGAGGGGGUAUCUUGAUCAAGAUCUACGGUCGGAUCCUGAUCACCUCGUAUAUAAGAAAUCCCAAAGACAACGCCAAGCUUUACACCCGCAAACCAUUCCAAGGCAACGAAAUUCACCCAAUGGCGCCUCCAAAGCUCUCGCCCACAGAGUAACGGGCAUUCCUCCUAGUGAUUUACGAUCGAAUCACUUAGAUAAGAAAUUACACCGCCACGACCACAGAUGAGUUCCCAGAAACGCCAAUGAAUAAAUUCCGCUUACCUUAAGGAGUCCAAUAAAAUCCCACAAACACUAUUUCCCAUACUCCAUUGCCUCCCACUACGGAAGCAUACGCUCCCUCAAGUGUCAUCAUAGCAUGAUUGUUAUUCGCAAUCAGCUGAAUGGCGAAUUAGCAAAAAGUUUCGGCUUGUCGCCUCAUUCCUCACAAAAAACUUCCAACAAAAGAUCCGAAGCCCCAUUAGAUGCACACACACAUUGCACCCAUAUUGUCUCAUAUGGUGCACUCUUCAGCCACCAGCCAGCUCGGUCGUCCAACGGUGAUUGUUUUUUUGCUGAUCUCUCGCUCUCUCUGGUGCUCCAAUGGUGCCCCAUGAUGCCUCCGCAGGAAAAUUUGCAGGAAAAUGGGCUGCUUCCACUUUUCUUCACCAUUUUCACGAACUUUCGUACUCCACCAUCACUGAAAGGCUAACUCUGCCCUAUUACAGCUUAAAGCAAGCCGAAAAACGCGCUGUAAACCACUCUUGAAGCUCUUGAGCGCUUUGAGAUGGGUGCUGCGUGCUUGAAAGACCACAGACGC